CAGGAUGAACGCUAGCGGCAGGCUUAACACAUGCAAGUCGAGGGGCAUCGGGAGUAGCAAUACUUGCCGGCGACCGGCGCAAGGGUGCGUAACGCGUGAGCAACAUGCCCGUAUCAGGGGGAUAAUCCAUGGAAACGUGGUCUAAUACCCCAUAGUAAUUAUGUAAGGCAUCUUAUAUAAUUUAAAGCUUUGGUGGAUACGGAUUGGCUCGCGUGACAUUAGCUAGAUGGUAAGGUAACGGCUUACCAUGGCUACGAUGUCUAGGGGUUCUGAGAGGAAGGUCCCCCACACUGGAACUGAGACACGGUCCAGACUCCUACGGGAGGCAGCAGUGAGGAAUAUUGGACAAUGGAUGGAAAUCUGAUCCAGCCAUGCCGCGUGCCAGGAAGACGGCCCUAUGGGUUGUAAACUGCUUUUGUAUGGGAGCAAUAAGGGCUACGCGUAGUCCGAUGAGAGUACCAUACGAAUAAGCACCGGCUAACUCCGUGCCAGCAGCCGC
Molecule: ribosomal RNA, 499 nt
Filed under: uncultured bacterium
Lineage: Bacteria
Description: bacterial SSU rRNA
Rfam family: Bacterial small subunit ribosomal RNA
Source: RNAcentral